UGAGGAAUAUUGGUCAAUGGGCGCGAGCCUGAACCAGCCAAGUAGCGUGAAGGAUGAAGGUCCUAUGGACUGUAAACUUCUUUUAUAGCAGAAUAAAGUGACCCACGUGUGGGUUUUUGUAUGUCUGCUAUGAAUAAGGAUCGGCUAACUCCGUGCCAGCAGCCGCGGUAAUACGGAGGAUCCGAGCGUUAUCCGGAUUUAUUGGGUUUAAAGGGUGCGUAGGCGGAAAGAUAAGUCAGCCUGUGAAAGUUUGCGGCUCAACCGUAAAAUUGCAGUUGAUACUGGUUUUCUUGAGUGUACAUAAGGUAGGCGGAAUUCGUGGUGUAGCGGCGAAAUGCUUAGAUAUCACGAAGAACUCCGAUUGCGAAGGCAGCUUACCGGGGUACAACUGACGCUGAUGCACGAAAGUGUGGGUAUCAAACA
RNAcentral lists this ribosomal RNA (423 nucleotides) under uncultured bacterium. RNAcentral's name for it is "bacterial SSU rRNA". It matches the Rfam family "Bacterial small subunit ribosomal RNA", at positions 355 to 774 of the family's 1533-position model. The record is from RNAcentral.